ACGAACACACAAUCAGAACAAGUAAUCACAGACCAUUUCCUGACAGAGACUUUUUUAUUCGCUGAGAAAAAAAGCUGGAAACCUUUGACGAACACAUCUGAUUCAGUCAUCUUCUGAAAUAAGUAAGAAGAUGCGGCUUUCUCCGUUAUCAGAAAAGAAUCUUUACUAACACUAAAGAUUCCAUGAGGUUACUAUCGCGAGAUAUUGACAAAUUGAGGUGGAACCACGAUUCUUUCGUCCUCUUG
This 245-nucleotide non-coding RNA is filed under the name Enterococcus rotai. Its description in RNAcentral is "T-box sequence". It matches the Rfam family "T-box leader". Rfam says of the family: Uncharged tRNA acts as the effector for transcription antitermination of genes in the T-box leader family. T-boxes are found upstream of many aminoacyl-tRNA synthetase genes and some amino acid biosynthetic genes usually in Gram-positive bacteria. The anticodon of a specific tRNA base pairs to a specifier sequence within the T-box motif, and the NCCA acceptor tail of the tRNA base pairs to a conserved bulge in the T-box antiterminator hairpin. Lineage: Bacteria; Bacillati; Bacillota; Bacilli; Lactobacillales; Enterococcaceae. The record is from RNAcentral.